GUGAGUCUUCUGGUAGUUUUAGUACUUGGUUUUAAGAUCAUCAAUGCUUUUGGCACUUUCUUGAUUUGAAUGUUCUUUUGUGGGUUCGACUGACUUCUGCACACUUUGGUGUCAUCUCCUGUUGUGCUGGAAUUUGUACGUAGUUUUGUGGUUUGACUAAUUCAUGAUCCUUGUUGGAAUAUCCUUAAUGGUGGGAUCUGCACUAUCUCUGUCCUGUCGUGGUUUUCAUCAGAAUCAUCAAAAAGUUACCUUUAGGGAUACAUACUAAUAAACAAAUGUGUGGUGCACAUCAUUUUAUUUAAGUUCCAAGCAAUCUUGAAGGUUGGGAAUCAAGGUUUAACUUUUACUUUAAAUGUAGAUAAUUAUUGGGAAUAUGAUGUUCAUUUAGAAAUUUCGUGAAGGAGCAGAAACUGGAAAUAGUUUUUGUAGCGUACUUCCUGCUUCAGAAUAAAUGACAAAUAAUCCUGCAGAAUGGUUUCUUUCAUUUAUCUUCCUCCUGUCUUUGAAAGUACAAAUUUAUGUAUCGUUGUUGAAAUAAAAAGAAGAAAGACACAAACUCUAAAUUGAUACGGGCUGCUGUUACAGGAGGAGUGACUUCAAUGGAUGACUUCUUGAUAAAAUUCUUCCCCAAAGUGUACGAAAGGAAACACCACCAUUUGACUGAAACAGAUUAUUGUAAAUAUGAUAAUCAGGUUCUCACUCUCUUUACCUCCUCCCUGUACUACGCUGCACUUCUUUCAACUUUUGGGGUGUCAUACGUGACCAGAAAUAAGGGCAGGAGGAUGAGCAUUAUGUGUGGGGCAGUCAGCUUCUUUGCUGGAGGACUUAUCAAUGCAGCAGCCGAGAACAUUGCGAUGCUGAUCAUUGGCCGAUGCCUGCUUGGUGUCGGCAUUGGGUUUGGGAAUCAGGUAAGCCAUUUAUCCUACACACCGAGUAAUUCGUGUGAAAAAAAAAUAAAGAAGAUUGUCACAUAUGCUCGUUUUGUACCUGUUUCUGCAGGCGGUCCCUCUGUAUCUUUCAGAAAUGGCACCUGCUAAAAUCCGAGGAGCAGUUAACCAACUGUUUCAACUAACAACCUGCUUGGGAAUCCUUGUUGCCAACUUAAUAAAUUAUGGUGUCCAAAGCAUUCAUCCAUGGGGCUGGAGGUUAGCCCUCGGUUUAGCCAUGGUUCCUGCUGCUAUAAUGUUCGUUGGUGGACUUUUUGCUCCAGAGACCCCAAACAGUCUUGUUGAACAGGGUAAACUAGACGAAGCAAGAAAGGUGCUGGAGAAAGUGAGAGGGACACCUAACGUGGAUGCUGAAUUUGCUGACCUAUUAGAAGCAAGCGAAGCAGCACGAGCUAUAAAGAAUCCGUUCUCAAAUCUGUUAAAGAGGAAGAACCGCCCCCAGCUUAUAAUAGGAUCCCUUGGUAUUCCAGCGUUCCAACAGCUCACUGGCAAUAACUCCAUUCUUUUCUAUGCCCCUGUCAUAUUCCAGAGCUUAGGUUUUGGGUCCAAUGCCUCCCUUUACUCCUCUGUCAUUACAAAUGGUGCACUAGUUGUAGCUGCCUUGAUCUCUAUGUCUCUCGUUGACAAGUUUGGCAGGAGAAAAUUUUUCCUCGAAGCUGGUUGUGAAAUGAUAAUCACCAUGGUAUGCUGUCUUGCAAAGUACUAACUACAUGAAUAUGACCUCUGGCUUAUGAAUAUAAUCUAACAGGUAGACGUUUUCUUCAUCUAAAAUACAUCACGCUAUUGACUGAUAUGCAGGUUGCUGUUGGUGUUACGCUGGCUUUGAAAUUUGGAAAGGGUGAGGAGCUCUCCAAAGGAAUUAGUGCUUUCCUUGUCAUUAUGAUCUUCGUGUUCGUUCUGGCUUAUGGAAGGUCCUGGGGUCCUCUGGGUUGGUUAGUUCCAAGUGAGAUCUUUCCCCUGGAGACGAGGUCGGCUGGCCAAAGUAUUGUCGUUAGCGUGAAUAUGCUCUUCACGGCUCUUGUUGCUCAGUUUUUCCUGAAAGCUCUCUGCGGACUUAAAUUCGGUAUCUUUUUGCUGUUUGCUGGUCUAAUAAUUUUCAUGAGCUGCUUUGUAUACUUCCUCUUGCCCGAGACCAAGCAAGUCCCAAUAGAGGAGAUCUAUUUGCUGUGGCAAAGCCACUGGUUUUGGAAGAGGUACUGCGCACCUGAUGGCAAUGAAGAUGGACAGGAGAUACAAAAACCAAGAAAACCCAAUAAUGAAACAGCCUAGAGAAUAGGUCUGAGGGAGCUACUUUCUUUCUGUGCCUAAUUAUUUUGCGUCCUGACAUACCUAGGGCACAUUUUCUUUUGCUUUUGUGUUU
This 2307-nucleotide long non-coding RNA is filed under the name Coffea arabica (coffee). RNAcentral describes it as "long non-coding RNA (CARA_LNC004496)". The record is from RNAcentral. Lineage: Eukaryota; Viridiplantae; Streptophyta; Magnoliopsida; Gentianales; Rubiaceae.